Molecule: ribosomal RNA, 723 nt
Filed under: Vibrio sp. 13D01
Lineage: Bacteria; Pseudomonadati; Pseudomonadota; Gammaproteobacteria; Vibrionales; Vibrionaceae
Description: bacterial SSU rRNA
Rfam family: Bacterial small subunit ribosomal RNA
Source: RNAcentral
ACGCUGGCGGCAGGCCUAACACAUGCAAGUCGAGCGGAAACGACUUAUCUGAACCUUCGGGGAACGUUAAGGGCGUCGAGCGGCGGACGGGUGAGUAAUGCCUAGGAAAUUGCCUUGAUGUGGGGGAUAACCAUUGGAAACGAUGGCUAAUACCGCAUAAUGCCUACGGGCCAAAGAGGGGGACCUUCGGGCCUCUCGCGUCAAGAUAUGCCUAGGUGGGAUUAGCUAGUUGGUGAGGUAAUGGCUCACCAAGGCGACGAUCCCUAGCUGGUCUGAGAGGAUGAUCAGCCACACUGGAACUGAGACACGGUCCAGACUCCUACGGGAGGCAGCAGUGGGGAAUAUUGCACAAUGGGCGAAAGCCUGAUGCAGCCAUGCCGCGUGUAUGAAGAAGGCCUUCGGGUUGUAAAGUACUUUCAGUUGUGAGGAAGGGGGUGUCGUUAAUAGCGGCAUCUCUUGACGUUAGCAACAGAAGAAGCACCGGCUAACUCCGUGCCAGCAGCCGCGGUAAUACGGAGGGUGCGAGCGUUAAUCGGAAUUACUGGGCGUAAAGCGCAUGCAGGUGGUUCAUUAAGUCAGAUGUGAAAGCCCGGGGCUCAACCUCGGAACUGCAUUUGAAACUGGUGAACUAGAGUACUGUAGAGGGGGGUAGAAUUUCAGGUGUAGCGGUGAAAUGCGUAGAGAUCUGAAGGAAUACCAGUGGCGAAGGCGGCCCCCUGGACA